CCGAGUUUACAACUCCCAAACCCCUGUGAACAUACCUAUACGUUGCCUCGGCGGAUCAGCCCGCGCCCCGUAAAAGGGACGGCCCCCCGCCCGAGGACCCCUAAACUCUGUUUUUAGUGGAACUUCUGAGUAAAACAACAAAUAAAUCA
RNAcentral lists this unclassified non-coding RNA (149 nucleotides) under soil metagenome. RNAcentral describes it as "partial internal transcribed spacer 1". The record is from RNAcentral.